AUUGAACGCUGGCGGCAUGCUUUACACAUGCGAGUCGGACGGCAGCGGGGUAGUGCUUGCACUACUGCCGGCGAGUGGCGAACGGGUGAGUAAUAUAUUGGAACGUACCGAGUAAUGGGGGAUAACCAAUCGAAAGAUUGGCUAAUACCGCAUACGCUCUGAGGAGGAAAGCAGGGGACCUUCGGGCCUUGCGUUAUUCGAGCGGCCAAUAUCUGAUUAGCUAGUUGGUGGGGUAAGGGCCUACCAAGGCGACGAUCAGUAGCGGGUCUGAGAGGAUGAUCCGCCACACUGGGACUGAGACACGGCCCAGACUCCUACGGGAGGCAGCAGUGGGGAAUUUUGGACAAUGGGCGCAAGCCUGAUCCAGCCAUGCCGCGUGUCUGAAGAAGGCCUUCGGGUUGUAAAGGACUUUUGUUAGGGAAGAAAAAGGAGCGGUUAAUACCCGUUUCUGCUGACGGUACCUAAAGAAUAAGCACCGGCUAACUACGUG
This 490-nucleotide ribosomal RNA is filed under the name uncultured bacterium. RNAcentral describes it as "partial 16S ribosomal RNA". It matches the Rfam family "Bacterial small subunit ribosomal RNA", at positions 30 to 507 of the family's 1533-position model. The record is from RNAcentral.